This 428-nucleotide ribosomal RNA is filed under the name uncultured bacterium. Its description in RNAcentral is "bacterial SSU rRNA". It matches the Rfam family "Bacterial small subunit ribosomal RNA", at positions 355 to 775 of the family's 1533-position model. The record is from RNAcentral.
UGGGGAAUUUUGGACAAUGGGCGCAAGCCUGAUCCAGCAAUGCCGCGUGCAGGACGAAGGCCUUCGGGUUGUAAACUGCUUUUGUACGGAACGAAACGGUAUCUUCUAAUACAAGGGGCUAAUGACGGUACCGUAAGAAUAAGCACCGGCUAACUACGUGCCAGCAGCCGCGGUAAUACGUAGGGUGCGAGCGUUAAUCGGAAUUACUGGGCGUAAAGCGUGCGCAGGCGGUUAUAUAAGACAGAUGUGAAAUCCCCGGGCUCAACCUGGGACCUGCAUUUGUGACUGUAUAGCUAGAGUACGGUGGAGGGGGAUGGAAUUCCGCGUGUAGCAGUGAAAUGCGUAGAUAUGCGGAGGAACACCGAUGGCGAAGGCAAUCCCCUGGACCUGUACUGACGCUCAUGCACGAAGGCGUGGGGAGCAAACAG